UAAGGAAUAUUGGACAAUGGGCGAAAGCCUGAUCCAGCCAUGCCGCGUGAGUGAAGAAGGCCUUAGGGUUGUAAAGCUCUUUUACCCGGGAAGAUAAUGACGGUACCGGGAGAAUAAGCUCCGGCUAACUUCGUG
RNAcentral lists this ribosomal RNA (135 nucleotides) under uncultured Alphaproteobacteria bacterium. RNAcentral describes it as "partial 16S rRNA". It matches the Rfam family "Bacterial small subunit ribosomal RNA", at positions 355 to 507 of the family's 1533-position model. The record is from RNAcentral. Lineage: Bacteria; Pseudomonadati; Pseudomonadota; Alphaproteobacteria.